RNAcentral lists this ribosomal RNA (485 nucleotides) under uncultured bacterium. Its description in RNAcentral is "bacterial SSU rRNA". It matches the Rfam family "Bacterial small subunit ribosomal RNA", at positions 28 to 524 of the family's 1533-position model. The record is from RNAcentral.
GACGAACGCUGGCGGCGUGCUUAACACAUGCAAGUCGAACGGAAAGGCCCUGCUUUUGUGGGGUGCUCGAGUGGCGAACGGGUGAGUAACACGUGAGUAACCUGCCCUUGACUUUGGGAUAACUUCAGGAAACUGGGGCUAAUACCGGAUAGGAGCUCCUGCUGCAUGGUGGGGGUUGGAAAGUUUCGGCGGUUGGGGAUGGACUCGCGGCUUAUCAGCUUGUUGGUGGGGUAGUGGCUUACCAAGGCUUUGACGGGUAGCCGGCCUGAGAGGGUGACCGGCCACAUUGGGACUGAGAUACGGCCCAGACUCCUACGGGAGGCAGCAGUGGGGAAUAUUGCACAAUGGGCGGAAGCCUGAUGCAGCAACGCCGCGUGCGGGAUGACGGCCUUCGGGUUGUAAACCGCUUUCGCCUGUGACGAAGCGUGAGUGACGGUAAUGGGUAAAGAAGCACCGGCUAACUACGUGCCAGCCGCCGCGGUAAU